GUAGCUUGCUACCUGACCUAGCGGCGGACGGGUGAGUAAUGCUUAGGAAUCUGCCUAUUAGUGGGGGACAACAUUCCGAAAGGAAUGCUAAUACCGCAUACGCCCUACGGGGGAAAGCAGGGGAUCUUCGGACCUUGCGCUAAUAGAUGAGCCUAAGUCAGAUUAGCUAGUUGGUGGGGUAAAGGCCUACCAAGGCGACGAUCUGUAGCGGGUCUGAGAGGAUGAUCCGCCACACUGGGACUGAGACACGGCCCAGACUCCUACGGGAGGCAGCAGUGGGGAAUAUUGGACAAUGGGCGCAAGCCUGAUCCAGCCAUGCCGCGUGUGUGAAGAAGGCCUUUUGGUUGUAAAGCACUUUAAGCGAGGAGGAGGCUACUUGGAUUAAUACUCUAGGAUAGUGGACGUUACUCGCAGAAUAAGCACCGGCUAACUCUGUGCCAGCAGCCGCGGUAAUACAGAGGGUGCGAGCGUUAAUCGGAUUUACUGGGCGUAAAGCGUGCGUAGGCGGCUUCUUAAGUCGGAUGUGAAAUCCCUGAGCUUAACUUAGGAAUUGCAUUCG
RNAcentral lists this ribosomal RNA (559 nucleotides) under Acinetobacter johnsonii. RNAcentral's name for it is "bacterial SSU rRNA". It matches the Rfam family "Bacterial small subunit ribosomal RNA", at positions 75 to 629 of the family's 1533-position model. The record is from RNAcentral. Lineage: Bacteria; Pseudomonadati; Pseudomonadota; Gammaproteobacteria; Moraxellales; Moraxellaceae.